RNAcentral lists this ribosomal RNA (246 nucleotides) under uncultured bacterium. Its description in RNAcentral is "partial 16S ribosomal RNA". It matches the Rfam family "Bacterial small subunit ribosomal RNA", at positions 87 to 334 of the family's 1533-position model. The record is from RNAcentral.
CGUGGCGACCGGCGCACGGGUGAGUAACGCGUAUGCAACCUGCCCGAUACCGGGGUAUAGCCCAUGGAAACGUGGAUUAACACCCCAUAGUACUUUUAUCCUGCCUGGGAUGUGAGUUAAAUGUUCAAGGUAUCGGAUGGGCAUGCGUCCUAUUAGUUAGUUGGCGGGGUAACAGCCCACCAAGACGAUGAUAGGUAGGGGUUCUGAGAGGAAGGUCCCCCACAUUGGAACUGAGACACGGUCCAA